RNAcentral lists this ribosomal RNA (433 nucleotides) under uncultured bacterium. Its description in RNAcentral is "partial 16S ribosomal RNA". It matches the Rfam family "Bacterial small subunit ribosomal RNA", at positions 29 to 507 of the family's 1533-position model. The record is from RNAcentral.
AACGAACGCUGGCGGCAUGCCUAACACAUGCAAGUCGAACGAGACCUUCGGGUCUAGUGGCGCACGGGUGCGUAACGCGUGGGAACCUGCCCUUAGGCUCGGAAUAACUCCCCGAAAGGGGUGCUAAUACCGGAUAAUGUCUUCGGACCAAAGAUUUAUCGCCUUUGGAUGGGCCCGCGUUGGAUUAGCUAGUUGGUAGGGUAAAAGCCUACCAAGGCGAAGAUCCAUAGCUGGUCUGAGAGGAUGAGCGGCCACACUGGGACUGGGACACGGCCCAGACUCCUACGGGAGGGAGCAGUGGGGAAUAUAGGACAAUCGGCUAAAGCCUGAUCCAGCAAUGCCGCGUGAGUGAUGAAGGCCGGAGGGUUGUAAAGCUCUUUUACCCGGGAUGAUAAUGACGGUACCGGGAGAAUAAGCACCGGCUAACUCCGUG